UGGAGCAGCCGAGACUAGAGCUGCUCACUGCCUCCGUGCCUCGUAUCCAUCGCGCCGCCCCCAGCCCCCCCACGCCUCUGCCUUCACCUGCAUCGCGCCACCUCCGCCGUCCGCCUCCAGCGCCGGCGCCACCUCCGCCUCGGCGCCGCCUCCGCAUCCACUCUCCAGUCAGCCCACCUCCACCUUGGCACCUCCAUCCCGCCGGCAAGCAAAUCCACCAAGUCGUCGGCUUCUAAACCUAAACCUACAUGAUCUUCACCAAGUUGAACACUUUUAACUAUUUCCCAUCUUCUCUGUCAAUAUUUCUGAAUUGUAAUCAAGUUUUGUUUUGGUUGCUUGUUUUAAAAUGUGUUUCAGGUUGCUGAAAAGUGGAGGAAGAAGACUAAGAUGGGUACAUGUCAAGCCUAAAACUUAUUUACUAGUUGGCUGUUGCUACUGCUUGAUCUGUGAUGUAAUGUUAUCAACCUAUAACUUGUACUGUGGCAGUCGUGACUCGUAACUUGUGAGGUUCAGACUUGAGACCUAUCCUGUGAUAAUUUGGUGCUUGAUGUUGCCUAUUUUUUGGUAUUUUUGUGAUAUAUAUGUCUGUGAAAAAAAGUCUAAAAA
Molecule: long non-coding RNA, 606 nt
Filed under: Oryza sativa (Asian cultivated rice)
Lineage: Eukaryota; Viridiplantae; Streptophyta; Magnoliopsida; Poales; Poaceae
Description: long non-coding RNA (OSAT_LNC000404)
Source: RNAcentral